RNAcentral lists this ribosomal RNA (378 nucleotides) under uncultured bacterium. RNAcentral describes it as "bacterial SSU rRNA". It matches the Rfam family "Bacterial small subunit ribosomal RNA", at positions 362 to 758 of the family's 1533-position model. The record is from RNAcentral.
UAUUGGACAAUGGGCGAAAGCCUGAUCCAGCAAUGCCGCGUGAGUGAUGAAGGCCUUAGGGUUGUAAAGCUCUUUUACCCGGGAUGAUAAUGACAGUACCGGGAGAAUAAGCUCCGGCUAACUCCGUGCCAGCAGCCGCGGUAAUACUGAGGGAGCUAGCGUUGUUCGGAAUUACUGGGCGUAAAGCGCACGUAGGCGGCUUUGUAAGUUAGAGGUGAAAGCCUGGAGCUCAACUCCAGAAUUGCCUUUGAUACUGCAUCGCUUGAAUCCAGGAGAGGUGAGUGGAAUUCCGAGUGUAGAGGUGAAAUUCGUAGAUAUUCGGAAGAACACCAGUGGCGAAGGCGGCUCACUGGACUGGUAUGACGCUGAGGUGCGAAA